This is a long non-coding RNA of Varanus komodoensis (Komodo dragon), 2360 nucleotides long. RefSeq lists it as uncharacterized. The record is from RefSeq and is a predicted model, not a curated record. Lineage: Eukaryota; Metazoa; Chordata; Lepidosauria; Squamata; Varanidae. The transcript has 2 exons.
AUGCCUGUAAGUGGAUUGUUUGGUGUGCUGCUUGUAGCAAGAAAUUCCCCAUGGGGCCACCAGAGAGAAGAUCCUGCUCUUCAUAUCUAUAUUGUGGUGCUGGAGAAGACUCCUGAGAGUCCCUUGGACCGCAAGAACUGCUGUGGGCGCCCUGCAUUCUCCACCGAUCCAGGCCAACAACAUCGUUCAGUUUUAAUCUGCCUUGCGAUGGCCAGUGCUUAAUUAUGCAACGCAGCGCAGUCACAUCUGUUGUGGAGGAGGCGGCCCAGGGAAGUCUGGGCAGCGAUGAGCGGAAGAGUUUCAUUUAGUUGUCAGGAGGCUUGGAAUGGUUCCUGGCUUGCUUUUGUCAAUGUGCCUGGGAGAAUGGUUUGGCUUCAGGCACGGGAGCCGCCAGAGCGAGGGGAGAUGCGCUGUCAGGGAAACUUUUGGACUACUGCUGUGAUCAGAAGAAUGAACUCCGUCCCAGAACUGUCUGACUGAGGCCUGCGAGACAACCAGGAGGGAAUCGCCUCCCAAUUUCCAGCAUGGACUUCUUUCUUCUCCCACAGACCAACCCCCCUCGCCAGCCUCACAAGGCAAUAAAGCAUAAUCAAGCAAGGUCUCCCUUUCCAGAUUAUUACCUUGAUUUAACAGAGCCUCACUUUCUCAAAAUGGGCAUUAUAGAAGACAGGGCUCAAGACGUGAUACUGCACAAGAAAAAAGGCUCCUGGGAAAUUUAUUCAAGUUUCUAGCCAUCAGGACAGUCUCAUGGGUCCAGCAACAUUCCCAGUCUUUCCUAGAGAUGGUGCUAAAGCCCGGAGUGGCUCGCUGCUUUAAUGUUGGUUUCAGAAUUGCUUGCUUGAUUUAUCUGAGACCUCAGUGUAUGCUCUGGAGUUUGUAAAGGCCUCUGGAUAUUUUACACCCUGUAGUUUCGGCGCUCGGUUUGCACCAUGAUAUGUUGAUAAUUGGCUUGAAUCCAGGAUCUGCUUUCCACAGGAGGAAAGGCGCCACUCAUGGAAGGUCCCGGUUUUGGAGGAUCCCCCCUCACCACAGCACACCCAUCCAGCAAGGUCCUCUGACUCUGUGUAGCAUUUUCGGGCGCUACCAUGGGAAGGAAGGAGUGGGGAAGCCCCCUUCUGCCAAUACAGCUGAAAUCUGGAUCCAGCCCCAAAGAAUUUUACGGAUUUAUACAGCAAGCCACUUUGGAAGGCUGCAGUCUUGAUAACUGACUAAGAAAUGUAUGUUCCAAUAAUACAUGAAACUGAAUAUUAACUGUUGUGGUGGUGUUUAACAGCAACAAAACAGCAGUGAUUUGACCAAGGCAGCCCAGUAAAGCAGUGGCAGAGCUACAAUGGUAGCCACCAUUUCCCUGUCUGAGUAGACCUGCUAUUUUGCAUGCUGCGUUGCUCCUCCGCUUUUGCAUUUCUGCUCCUCCUCCUGCUGAGAGUAGAUGCGCUGCCUCUUGCAGUGCUGCCGGCAGGCCUUUUGCCAGGGCGACGAUCCACUGCUGGCCGUCACAUUUCAAGGACUCUGAUCUCUUUGUGGCCCAGAGCAGAGCAGCUUUGACUGUUGCGCCUGUGAGCUGCCUUGUUCAAGAGACUUUUGGUGGUGCUGCACACAGCAGACAAGCACCCAGAUCAGCUCUUGGGAGGAGAUGGAGACCUACCUCAACCGUCAGGCCUAAAGAAUGACUCUGGAACUCUGCUGGUGUUGAUUAUUGUAAUAGCUCUGAAUGAAGGUCUUUUGGUAAAAGGUGGCACAACCUUUCUGGGCUGCCAUCCGCUGUGUGUUCGUGAGUGUUUUGCAGAAUGCAUAUGCUUGCCUGUUUACCAGGAGCUAGAACAUGGCUUGUCCUUCAGCCUGUUUAGUUAAUAGCUCAUGAUAGUUCCUGAAUGGAAAAUCCAUGCGCUCAGGGUGAUCCAAGACAGUAGGAAUGAAGGCAGUCUGAAUCUGGGAGACGUUUGCACCAAUGGAGGCGUUUCUCUUUACCACCUCCGUUCGGUGUGUGUAGAGGGGCAGAUUUAGGAAAACAAAUGGCUGGGAAGGAACGGUUUCAGAACUACCUACCCAGGUGUGGUGGUCCUGAUCCGGAUUGGAGCCCUGCACGCCUGUUUCUGAGCAGAGACCAGGCAAGAGACUAAGCUGUGUGCUGUGCUUGUGCUUGUGCUUUUGCAUAACUUGUGAUUUAGUUUCCAUAGAGCCAGACAAGGGAUACAACUGGGCUAAUUGAACAAGCUGGGUGUGUUUGUGUGGGGUGUGUGUGUCUGUGGGGUGGGGGAGUUAGGUGGAUUAAGCUGCUGUUUCUAUACAAAACUAACUAUUGUGCAGCCUUCUGGUAAUCAAAAAUAAACAAGCCUUACAAAGGCACCAUAAGUCUUAAA